RNAcentral lists this long non-coding RNA (3609 nucleotides) under Prunus persica (peach). RNAcentral's name for it is "long non-coding RNA (PPER_LNC002967)". Lineage: Eukaryota; Viridiplantae; Streptophyta; Magnoliopsida; Rosales; Rosaceae. The record is from RNAcentral.
GAGAAAUUCUCCGGAAAAAAAAACCCAAAAUUCUCUAGAGCCUACACUAUGACCCUACGAGUUCAUAUUCCUGGGUCCGUCCCUGCUCCCUAGUGGCAUAAAUCCAAAUUGGUUAUCUGACACUUGAUCCUUUGAUUAGUCUUUGUUCUAUUUCCUUUCCCCACAAUUCCAUAGAAGACAUGAGAUCAAAUUAUGAAAUCCAUUUAGCUAAGUGAAGAGCCAAUAUCACUAAUUACCCUUAGCCAAGGGAUUCCCACUGAAACCAAGGUCCAUAGAAAUGCUAUCUAGUGUCUCAUUAACCACUCUGCAUUGACAAAAACAACAAAGAGUAUGCUAUAUAUAAGUUAGAAAAACAUAUAAAUAAGAAAAACAGAAAAGGAAAUUGAGUUUCAGCAUUAGGGACGAACCCGAGAUGGUAGCCAAAUAAGAAUCAAGAAAGAGUUGCCACAAGCAUAUACGAGGCAAAGAGCGUCUCCAUGAAGGGUUUCCAAUUCCUAUUCUAGCCCUUCCACCAUCAAGCUUCGGAAGUCUGUAAGCCAAAUUCAUUUAAUUUUACUUUAUCUGGCAUUUAUAUCUUACUAUACUAUUUUUAGUAAUUCUAAUAUAUAUAUAUAUAUAUUUUUCAAAAGCAAAUUACCAAUUCAUACCAUUUCCGGUAAUCAUCAUGCGCUCUGCUUCUUCUGUUACUCUGGUUAUUUCGGCUCCAGCAGGCUCCCUAUCAAUCCAGAAAUUAACAAGAUAUAAGCCAAAAGAUAUAAGCCACGGAGAGAGAGAGAGAGAGAGAGAGAGAGAGAGAGAGAGAGAGAGAGAGAGAGAGAGAGAGAGAGAGAGAGAGAGAGAGAGAGAUGAAGAGAAUCUGGAAAACACUGAGCCAUGAAAUACCAGAGGGCAUUGAGAGAUUGAACCACUCUUUAACUCCUGAGAUGUUUGAGAAGCUGCAUCAUGCCGUGCAAUUCGUUGAUGACUUGAAGACCACGACCGUUUUUUCUGUUUUGGGGGCUGCUGCGGUAUCCUGCUUGUCUUUGACUGUGACGGCAGACUCAUGUUUUAUCAUGGUCAGAGCCCCGAACGCAAGGGAGAAGAGAGCGGCGGCUGCGGUUGCGGCAGCGACAGCAGGCGAAGCAGCCCCUGCUUCUCCAGGACUGCUCGGGCUCCUGGGAGCGGGAACGGCUGUGGCAGCGAUAGUGACAGUGGCAGUGACAGCAAGAGGAAGAGAGGGAGCGACGGCGACAGAGGCAACCGAGUAUAAAAUUGAAGGAAUACGUACAUGUAAUGGGCCAACUGAGAAAUUCUGUUGAAAAAAAACCUCAAAAUUCUCUAAAGCCCAUUCUUCAACAGAAUAUGAAAUUGAACACAAUUCUUCAACCGAGUACGAAAUUGAAGGGAUACAUACCUGCAGUGGGCCAGCUUUUCUUGUGAAGAUUGAUGAUCCUUCUUGGUUAGUUUGGGGAAAAAAAAACCCAAAAUUCUUAAAAGCCCAUUCUUCAACCGAAUAUGAAAGUGAACACAAUUCUUCAACUGAUUAUGAAAUUGAAGGAAUACAUACAUGUGGUGGGCUAGUUUUUUUCUUGUGAAGCUUGAUGAUCCUUCUUGGCAAGAAAUUCUCUGUAAAAAAAAAACCCAAAAUUCUUAAAAGCCCAUUCUUCAACCGAAUAUGAAAGCGAACACAAUUCUUCAACUGAUUAUGAAAUUGAAGGAAUACAUACUUGUGGUGGGCUAGUUUUUUUCUUGUGAAGCUUGAUGAUCCUUCUUGGCAAGAAAUUCUCUGGAAAAAAAAAGCCCCAAAUUCUCUAAAGUCUAUUUUUCAACUGAAUAUGAAAUUGAACACAAUUCUUCAACCGAGUAUGAAAGUGAAGGAAUACAUACCUGUGGUGGACCAGCUUUUUUUGUAAAGCUUGAUGAUCCAUCUUGGCUAGAAAUUGCUUGGAAAAAAAACCGCAAAAUCCUAUAAAGCCCAUUCUUUAACCAAAUAUGAUAUUGAGCAUAAUUCUUCAACCGAUUAUGAAAUUGAAAGGAUACAUACCUAUAAUGGGUCAGCUUUUCUUGUGAAGCUUGAUGAUCCUUCUUGGCUAGAAAUUCUUUAGAAAAAAAAAACCUCAAAAUUCUCAAAAGCUCAUUCUUUAACCGAAUAUGAAAUUGAACACAAUUCGUCAACCGAGUAUGAAAUUGAAUGAAUACAUACCUGUGAUGAGCCAACUUUUUUUGUGAAGCUUGAUAAUCUUUCUUGGCGAGAAAUUCCCAGGAAAAAAAACACCAAAAUUCUCUAAAGCCCAUUGUUCAACCGAAUACGAAAUUGAACAUAAUUCUUCAACCGAGUAUGAAAUUGAAGGGAUGCACACCUGUGGUGGGCCAGCUUUUCUUGUGAAGCUUGUUGAUCCUUCUUGGUUAGAAAUUCUCUGGGAAAAAAACCCCAAAAUUCUCAAAAGCCCAUUCUUCAACCGAAUCUGAAAUUGAACACAAUUCUUCAACCGAUUAUGAAAUUGAAGGAAUACAUACAUGUGGUGGGCUAGGUUUUUGUUGUAAAGCUUGAUGAUCCUUCUUGGCAAGAAAUUCAAUGGAAAAAAAACCCUAAAAUUCUCUAAAGUCCAUUCUUCAACCGAAUACGAAAUUGAACACAAUUCUUCAACCGAGUAUGAAAUUGAAAGAAUACAUACUUUUGAUGAUCCAUCUUGGCAAGAAAUUCCCUGGAAAAAACAAACCCCAAAAUUCUAUAAAGCCCAUUUUUUAACCAAAUAUGAAAUUGAGCGCAAUUCUUCAACCGAGUAUGAAAUUGAAAGGAUACAUACCUGUGGUGGGCCAGCUUUUCUUGUGAAGCUUGAUGAUCCGUCUUGGCUAGAAAUUCUCUGGAAAAAAAAAACUCAAAAUUCUCAAAAGCCCAUUCUUCAAUCUAAUAUGAAAUUAAAUACAAUUCUUCAACCGAGUAUGAAAUUAAAUGAAUACAUACCAGUGAUGGGCGACCUUUUUUUGUGAAGCUCAAAAAUCCAUCUUGGCGGGAAAUUCUCUGGAAAAUAACCCAAAAAUUCUCUAAAGCUCAUUCUUCAACCGAAUACGAAAUUGAACACAAUUCUUCAACCGAGUACGAAAUUGAACGAAUACAUACCUAUGGUGGGCCAGCUUUUCUUGUGAAGCUCGAUGAUCCUUCUUGGUUAGAAAUUCUCUGGAAAAAAAAAACUCCAAAAUUCUCUAAAGCCCAUUCUUCAACUGAAUAUGAAAUUGAACACAAUUCUUCAACCGAGUAUGAAAUUGAAGGAAUACAUACCUGUGAUUGGCUAACUUUUUUUGUGAAGCUUGAUAAUCCUUCUUGGCGAGAAAUUCUCCGAAAAAAAAACCCAAAAUUCUCUAGAGCCUACACUAUGACCCUACGAGUUCAUAUUCCUGGGUCCGUCCCUGCUCCCUAGUGGCAUAAAUCCAAAUUGGUUACCUGACAUUGAUCCUUUGAUUAGUCUUUGUUCUAUUUCCUUUCCCCACAAUUCCAUAGAAGACAUGAGAUCAAAUUAUGAAAUCCAUUUAGCUAAGUGAAGAGCCAAUAUCACUAAUUACCCUUAGCCAAGGGAUUCCCACUGAAACCAAGGUCCAUAGAAAUGCUAUCUAGUGUCUCAUUAACCACUC